AACCCCGGCGAGGGGAGUGAAAAAGAACCUGAAACCGUGUACGUACAAGCAGUGGGAGCCCCACCACCAAAGCAUUCUCUGGUGUUGAAGGCCCUGCAAAGCAGCAUCGCGGUGGCGGAGCGUCGUUUGCGACGCCCAACACACAAAACAAGCGGUGAAUGCUUUGGGGUGGGGUGACUGCGUACCUUUUGUAUAAUGGGUCAGCGACUUAUAUUCUGUAGCAAGGUUAACCGUAUAGGGGAGCCGUAGGGAAACCGAGUCUUAACCGGGCGUUAAGUUGCAGGGUAUAGACCCGAAACCCGGUGAUCUAGCCAUGGGCAGGUUGAAGGUUGGGUAACACUAACUGGAGGACCGAACCGACUAAUGUUGAAAAAUUAGCGGAUGACCUGUGGCUGGGGGUGAAAGGCCAAUCAAACCGGGAGAUAGCUGGUUCUCCCCGAAAGCUAUUUAGGUAGCGCCUCGUGAAUUCAUCUCCGGGGGUAGAGCACUGUUUCGGCUAGGGGGCCAUCCCGGCUUACCAACCCGAUGCAAACUGCGAAUACCGGAGAAUGUUAUCACGGGAGACACACGGCGGGUGCUAACGUCCGUCGUGAAGAGGGAAACAACCCAGACCGCCAGCUAAGGUCCCAAAGUCAUGGUUAAGUGGGAAACGAUGUGGGAAGGCCCAGACAGCCAGGAUGUUGGCUUAGAAGCAGCCAUCAUUUAAAGAAAGCGUAAUAGCUCACUGGUCGAGUCGGCCUGCGCGGAAGAUGUAACGGGGCUAAACCAU
RNAcentral lists this ribosomal RNA (769 nucleotides) under Salmonella enterica subsp. enterica serovar Mikawasima. RNAcentral's name for it is "partial 23S ribosomal RNA". It matches the Rfam family "Bacterial large subunit ribosomal RNA", at positions 522 to 1190 of the family's 2925-position model. The record is from RNAcentral. Lineage: Bacteria; Pseudomonadati; Pseudomonadota; Gammaproteobacteria; Enterobacterales; Enterobacteriaceae.